AAGCAGCACAGCUCUUUCCAAUGCACUGCUGAUUAAGGCAGCUAGAAGAGUGAGGGUUUUGGGACCCGUAGAUUUUCUCUGGUUUGCAAGCAGAGGGGUUGCUAUAGCCCUUGUGUGAGGCAUUUAGUGCUAUCAAGUGUGAACCAGGGCUUUGAGAAAGAAGAAACAGAAGACGAAGGCAAAAUGAAAACAAAGCAGGGGAGGAGCAUUUCUAGACCAAAGAAGGCUGAACUAGGUUUGAAAGGGCAAUGAUGAGAAUCCACAGCACACAUCUUCUCCAGAGCCCUCAACAUGUGUGAAGGAAGGAAAAAAUCAUCACCUGCAAGCUUACAGAUGAACUGUCUCCCUAGGCUAUAUGUUCUUAUUCAAAGGGGCUUCCUGGUGGAUGCAAAUACAGUUAAGAGCUGUAUUUGCAUGUUGCAGAUGUUAACUUUCUGUUAAAACAAUACAACCAGUCAUGUGUUUUGCAUUUGUCUUGACAUAAAAGUGCACAGGGAUAGAUAUAUUCACCUACAUCUGAACAGUUCCAGGCACAGUCUACAGCCCCUUCCGUGACUGGUUGCAUAGGUCAGUGUCUCCAGACCUAAAACACUUAGAAAACAUCUGAACCCAUAUUUGGGAAUCUGGAUUGAUGGCCAACAACUUUUUGGAAGGAUGUAAAGCAAAUGCGACUGCCACCAAAACAGGUGCCAGUUUUGAGUUCUCAGCUCUGACAGGGAUAAAUGCCUGUUUUUAUUUCCUCUACAGUCCUCUGCAUCUCAUUGUCUUGAUCCACAAACUCUGAAAGGAAACUCUGCAACAUGGAAAAUACUGAAUGUCUGAUCCAAAGCACAUUGAAAUACACAAAAAUCACUAUGAUGGGCUUUGGAUCAGGUCCUGAGUAAACUAAUUCUUGGAUCGUCACCUCUGGUCAUAAUAGCCCUUUGUUCUGCCUUUUUAAUGACUAAUGAUUGUUAUAAAAAGCCUUAUGUAAUUUCUGGCAUGGUUAGACAUCAUAUAUGAGAGGUGUAUAAUCUUAGAAAUGCUCUAGCUAGUUUCUUGGGUUGUGUAACAAAUAAUUAUGGAAUCUUGCUGAGCCUCACUUUAUUAUUAUACAGCUCCAGGCUCUUACCCCCAGUGGCUUUACAAGCUUGUUAAUAUUUAAGCUAUCUUGUAGCUUGGGUAAAUUGUAAUGACUUUUUUGUUACUGAAGCUAAUAUUAAACAAAAGAAGUUGUUGGGGGAAAGGGGAAAAGGUAUGAUGGAUGUUAUAUUCUCCUGAAGGUGCUUUUCCUUGCUUUAAUAGCUUUUGGCUGAUUCACAAGUACAAAUGAAAUAGGAAUCUCUUCCAAAGCCUUCCUUCUGUGCCUCUCUGGAUAAGCAGAAAGACAGCCUUGCUCUUCACAGCGGAUAGGGUAAUGGUGGGCAUGCAGGCUUGCCCUGAAGAAUAAUUUCGUACAAAAUCCAAGUGACUUAGAGAUGUUUUUUGGUGAAUAAGACUAAAAUCUAGCCAAAACCUAUUAAAAUCAGGAAGUCUUCUGACUACAGAAAGUAGCCAGGCCUGCAGAAAUGGACAAAAUAAUUCAGCCACUCUUUGUUAUAAAACAAGGUGGACAAGAUAGCUCUUGUUCCUGCUGCCUCUGUCCAGUCCUGUUAUGCCAUGAAAACUUUCUCUGCCUGCUCCAAUUAAAAAAACAACAAAACAGUUACUUAAGAUAUCUAUAGCUGCUAUUUAGGGUCAGAAGAACAGAUCUGUGGUUUAAUUAAUAUCCAAUUUGUGUAUAAUUAGAUUUGGUCUUUGACUGGGCUGGUGCUUCCGCUGCCUGCUCAGGUGGUAGACAAGGCUUCAGGAAUGGUAUAUGCAACUAUAGAUGUCCCCGGUGUGGUGGUGGGUUGGAUGAUUGCCUAUAGGGUUUUCAAGCAUGACUAACUUCAUCUGGCUUCCACAAGCUUUUAGUCUUCAAAGGGAACUCACAUGGUGUGUUGCAAGAUCUAUAAAAUCUCAUGUAGUAUAAAGAUGAAGGGACAGAGCCACACACCUAGUACUGAUGGCAUACGUAGGUCCAAGAUGACCUGCCAAAGCUGGGUGGGGUGUGCCUGGAUUUUUCAUGUAGAGCAGCUCAAACUUUAAAGGAAAAAAAAAGCAGCAGCAGGUGGGGCUCUGAAACAGCAAUUACCACAGGAGAGAGGCUUUGAUUUUUCUAAUGAAAACUAAAGGUCUGUAGUUAGUUGUAGCUAGAAAAACAAAAACCAAAAAACAAACAAACAAAAACAAUAGCACCAAGUAAAUAUUAUUUAUUGAUGGCUAUUAUUGCAUCAUAUGUACUUGGAUUGUAUGGAUCCAUGGUAUACCCAGCUCUCAAAUGUGGUUCCAGGCCUCCCAACCCCGUGCAGUUGCCACCACUUCUGCAUCUGAAAGUGCCAUAGUAAAGGUAGAGUUUCACAAAUAUGGUCAAGAUAAGGAAUGAGUGUACUGUGACUCUUCAAGGGAUGCCUCAGAAAGGGAAUGUGAUAGAGGUCUCUUGUGAGAGGAGAAAAGUGCUUAGAAAAAUGGUUGCUAAUUUCUCUCAGCUGACUGUUGUUUAUCCUGAGCUUUGUUAUGUGGCACAUUCAGUGUGAUGAAGCAGAAGAUGCUUCAUUAUAAGACAAGACUACCUGUGGAUUUGAACUGAAAAAAAAAAUGGUAUGGGCUCAAAGUGAUGGGAUAUUCCUGAAGGAAAAGUUCUUCAAGGGCUAGGGAAUGCAAGGGUCCUGUUUUGACUUAUGUUUAUUGUAAGCUUCAUGUAGGCUUAGGAAAUGCUUUGGGAAUGUUAACCUGCUGUUGUACAUUCUUUAACCUAAGGAGCAUAGCUGCCUCAGAUGGGAGUCUGGCCUAAAUAAACCCUUGCUUUGAUAUAAGAUAGGUCUUUAAAAUUGGAUGUGUCUGAAGGGAUUUGGUAAUUGCAUGGAUUCCUAUGAAAAGAUGUACAACUCUUCUCAACAACUCUUCUCACAAUCCAGUUUGGUGUUUCCUGUAGUGUUUUAUUACCAGUUAUAGAUCUCUAUGAUGGAUUCACUUAGGUCAGAAAUAAACUUGGGCUUUAAGUAAAAUGUGUGAGCUGCAUGGCAUACAGUGGAGUUCUCUUGGACAGAGCAGCUGGGGAAGAGGUUGCCUACCUGACAUGGUGUGCUGGUGGUAUCUGACAAGCUACCUGCCCUGCUGAGGUUUUUCCACAUCAUUUGUGGGCACAGGAAGAGACAGCAUUGCCUCUUAGGUUAAAAUGAAAUCUAUGGGGUGAUGAACAGUGUGGUCACCUCCACCAUCCUCAGUGCAGGUACACGCUGCUGUACAGAAAGGAGACUCACUCCUUUCUUUCUCAUGUCAGAGGGCUGGAUUCCCUCCUCUUUGUAGCCUGUGGGCCCUUCUCUGGUUGCACAGCAAGAAACUGGAUCUCUAAACCUUUUUUCAUGCAAAAUUUUUCACGGUACAAUUUACAUCAGUGAAACAGUACUUGCAGGUUUAAGUUUUUAUUUAUUUUUUUGUCUAUGGGCCCUGUGUUCAUAGUUCAGAUGUGACCAAGCGUAACCUACCCUUCUCUAUAAUAGCAUACAGGUUUUUACCAAGAUAAGCUAUUUAAGUUAUUUAAGUGAAUUGGAAUACAUGUUUGUGCAGCCAGAAAUGAAGUGCAGUCAUUUUUGUCAUGUUAAUGUAAAUGGCAACUUGCCAAAUAAUUGAAACUUCUAUUUGUAAAACAGUAUGGAUGUAUUUUUCAAAUCAUGUGUUGAAUGCCUUGAUGUGAACUCUAUUGAAAUUAUGUUUAUUAAAUGGCAGACCUAAAAAUUAUU
Long non-coding RNA from Anas platyrhynchos (mallard), 3803 nucleotides. RefSeq lists it as uncharacterized. NCBI's taxonomy places the organism in Eukaryota, Metazoa, Chordata, Aves, Anseriformes, Anatidae. The record is from RefSeq and is a predicted model, not a curated record.